CGGAGCUUGCUCUGUGGGAUCAGUGGCGAACGGGUGAGUAACACGUGAGCAACCUGCCCCUGACUCUGGGAUAAGCGCUGGAAACGGCGUCUAAUACUGGAUAUGUGACGUGAUCGCAUGGUCUGCGUCUGGAAAGAAUUUCGGUUGGGGAUGGGCUCGCGGCCUAUCAGCUUGUUGGUGAGGUAAUGGCUCACCAAGGCGUCGACGGGUAGCCGGCCUGAGAGGGUGACCGGCCACACUGGGACUGAGACACGGCCCAGACUCCUACGGGAGGCAGCAGUGGGGAAUAUUGCACAAUGGGCGCAAGCCUGAUGCAGCAACGCCGCGUGAGGGAUGACGGCCUUCGGGUUGUAAACCUCUUUUAGCAGGGAAGAAGCGAAAGUGACGGUACCUGCAGAAAAAGCGCCGGCUAACUACGUGCCAGCAGCCGCGGUAAUACGUAGGGCGCAAGCGUUAUCCGGAAUUAUUGGGCGUAAAGAGCUCGUAGGCGGUUUGUCGCGUCUGCUGUGAAAUCCGGAGGCUCAACCUCCGGCCUGCAGUGGGUACGGGCAGACUAGAGUGCGGUAGGGGAGAUUGGAAUUCCUGGUGUAGCGGUGGAAUGCGCAGAUAUCAGGAGGAACACCGAUGGCGAAGGCAGAUCUCUGGGCCGUAACUGACGCUGAGGAGCGAAAGGGUGGGGAGCAAACAGGCUUAGAUACCCUGGUAGUCCACCCCGUAAACGUUGGGAACUAGUUGUGGGGUCCAUUCCACGGAUUCCGUGACGCAGCUAACGCAUUAAGUUCCCCGCCUGGGGAGUACGGCCGCAAGGCUAAAACUCAAAGGAAUUGACGGGGACCCGCACAAGCGGCGGAGCAUGCGGAUUAAUUCGAUGCAACGCGAAGAACCUUACCAAGGCUUGACAUAUACGAGAACGGGCC
This 917-nucleotide ribosomal RNA is filed under the name Microbacterium maritypicum. Its description in RNAcentral is "bacterial SSU rRNA". It matches the Rfam family "Bacterial small subunit ribosomal RNA", at positions 74 to 1002 of the family's 1533-position model. The record is from RNAcentral. Lineage: Bacteria; Bacillati; Actinomycetota; Actinomycetes; Micrococcales; Microbacteriaceae.